Molecule: ribosomal RNA, 222 nt
Filed under: uncultured Glomeromycotina
Lineage: Eukaryota; Fungi; Glomeromycota
Description: partial 18S ribosomal RNA
Rfam family: Eukaryotic small subunit ribosomal RNA (bases 39-222)
Source: RNAcentral
GGAUCAAUACGUCGGUCGUGCUUCGGUACGUACUGGCGUAAUUGGUUUCUCCCUUCUGACGAACCAUGAUGUCAUUAACUUGGUGUCAUGGGAAAUCAGGACUGUUACUUUGAAAAUUAGAGUGUUUAAAGCAAGCGCUAGCUUGAAUACAUUAGCAUGGAAUAAUGAAAUAGGACGUUUGACCCUAUUUUGUUGGUUUCUAGGAUCGACGUAAUGAUUAAU